GGCAGGUGCACAGACAUGCAGUCCAGCUUUCCUACGAGGCAUUUGCUCUUCAAAACCCCGUGGGUGCUGUUUAUCAUGGCAGAAUUAAAAUCUGAGGGCUGCAGCUAAGUCAAUGAAAUCUCACUUAUGCGUUCACUCCACCAUUCUGUUCAUCUGCCAUGGACGUGCCCAGUUUAGUUCUGUGCUCACAGCAGAGGAAUGCCAUCGAGCCUGUGGCCGGUCCCUAAAUAACGGGAGAGCUGAAGCGCCG
Molecule: long non-coding RNA, 250 nt
Filed under: Homo sapiens (human)
Lineage: Eukaryota; Metazoa; Chordata; Mammalia; Primates; Hominidae
Description: LHRI_LNC2038.1
Source: RNAcentral